GCAUUCGUGCCCGAGCGGUUAAGGGGAUCGACUAGAAAUCGAUUGCGAAAUUCGCGCGUAGGUUCAAGUCCUACCGAAUGCG
This 82-nucleotide transfer RNA is filed under the name Ostreococcus tauri. It matches the Rfam family "tRNA". Rfam says of the family: Transfer RNA (tRNA) molecules are approximately 80 nucleotides in length. Their secondary structure includes four short double-helical elements and three loops (D, anti-codon, and T loops). Lineage: Eukaryota; Viridiplantae; Chlorophyta; Mamiellophyceae; Mamiellales; Bathycoccaceae. The record is from Rfam by way of RNAcentral.